This 26-nucleotide non-coding RNA is filed under the name Rattus norvegicus (Norway rat). Lineage: Eukaryota; Metazoa; Chordata; Mammalia; Rodentia; Muridae. The record is from RNAcentral.
GACCUUGGACCAAGUUAGGGAGAGGC